RNAcentral lists this ribosomal RNA (1100 nucleotides) under Lactiplantibacillus plantarum. Its description in RNAcentral is "bacterial SSU rRNA". It matches the Rfam family "Bacterial small subunit ribosomal RNA", at positions 73 to 1147 of the family's 1533-position model. The record is from RNAcentral. Lineage: Bacteria; Bacillati; Bacillota; Bacilli; Lactobacillales; Lactobacillaceae.
UUGGUGCUUGCAUCAUGAUUUACAUUUGAGUGAGUGGCGAACUGGUGAGUAACACGUGGGAAACCUGCCCAGAAGCGGGGGAUAACACCUGGAAACAGAUGCUAAUACCGCAUAACAACUUGGACCGCAUGGUCCGAGCUUGAAAGAUGGCUUCGGCUAUCACUUUUGGAUGGUCCCGCGGCGUAUUAGCUAGAUGGUGGGGUAACGGCUCACCAUGGCAAUGAUACGUAGCCGACCUGAGAGGGUAAUCGGCCACAUUGGGACUGAGACACGGCCCAAACUCCUACGGGAGGCAGCAGUAGGGAAUCUUCCACAAUGGACGAAAGUCUGAUGGAGCAACGCCGCGUGAGUGAAGAAGGGUUUCGGCUCGUAAAACUCUGUUGUUAAAGAAGAACAUAUCUGAGAGUAACUGUUCAGGUAUUGACGGUAUUUAACCAGAAAGCCACGGCUAACUACGUGCCAGCAGCCGCGGUAAUACGUAGGUGGCAAGCGUUGUCCGGAUUUAUUGGGCGUAAAGCGAGCGCAGGCGGUUUUUUAAGUCUGAUGUGAAAGCCUUCGGCUCAACCGAAGAAGUGCAUCGGAAACUGGGAAACUUGAGUGCAGAAGAGGACAGUGGAACUCCAUGUGUAGCGGUGAAAUGCGUAGAUAUAUGGAAGAACACCAGUGGCGAAGGCGGCUGUCUGGUCUGUAACUGACGCUGAGGCUCGAAAGUAUGGGUAGCAAACAGGAUUAGAUACCCUGGUAGUCCAUACCGUAAACGAUGAAUGCUAAGUGUUGGAGGGUUUCCGCCCUUCAGUGCUGCAGCUAACGCAUUAAGCAUUCCGCCUGGGGAGUACGGCCGCAAGGCUGAAACUCAAAGGAAUUGACGGGGGCCCGCACAAGCGGUGGAGCAUGUGGUUUAAUUCGAAGCUACGCGAAGAACCUUACCAGGUCUUGACAUACUAUGCAAAUCUAAGAGAUUAGACGUUCCCUUCGGGGACAUGGAUACAGGUGGGUGCAUGGUUGUCGUCAGCUCGUGUCGUGAGAUGUUGGGGUUAAGUCCCCGCACCGAGCGCAACCCUUAUUAUCAGUUGCCAGCAUUAAGUUGGGCCUCUUGUGGA